AUUACAGAUGGGAAAACAUGCCUCAAUAGCAUUUGUUUCUGAGAUACUUGCUGCAUUACUAGAAAAUAACAGCUGGAGCAUCAAGAACAGAGAACUUAACACCCAAGGACGACACUGUGACCAUCUGUGUUGGUGAAUACGUUCCUAGGGGUAGACUCUGGAUGAAACAAGGUGACUCCAAGAGCAAAGCUUAGAAUACCUGAAUACCUGCAAGCAAGACAAGUAGAUUAAGUCCUGACAGAAAAGUAUACGCGGGCCCAAGGGGCAUAUUGUCCUGGAAUUAUGGCCAACAUUCUACAGGGCAACAGGUCAUUGAUUCUGAUCCUGCCAGCCUCCACCCAUCUUAUUGGUGGGCAUCAUCCCAGGGUGAACCUGUGAAAGAUAUUGCUUAGUACUGCUUGGAGCUAUUUUUAGCCUCUGUGGACAGCUCCAUAGGGAGAAUGAACUAUUCGUCAACGUCACCCAUAUUUUACUGAAGAUUUUGAAGGUAUUCCAAUGUGACUGACUACUACGUUUCCUCACAUGUGUGCUGCUGUAUCUGAGAUCACCAUGUUUUCAAUUAUCUCAUAUGAACCUGUUUCUGUUCAGAAAAAAUCCUUCCCUGGUGAUCCUAUUGUGGUAGACAUAAAACUGUGCCACCCAGAUCCCAUUCCAGGGAAGAAUAUGCUGCUGAGCUGUUGGAAGUACAAUCAGUGGAAAACCUUGGUCUGUCAGCAACUUCAAGGUUUGCCUCCUUUGCAGAAAUGGUCCAUUCAAAGUCAUGCCCUUCCUAUAGCAGUCUACAUUCAACCACUGAGUGAGGCAGAAAUAAAAAAGUGCUGAUAAUUUUCAACCUACAAGGGCAUUAAUGAGCAAUACCUGCUCCAGAGCUCCACAGUGGGUUCUCAGAAGAUGUGUCUUGCCUGCAGCACAGCUUGACUCCUU
Molecule: long non-coding RNA, 924 nt
Filed under: Homo sapiens (human)
Lineage: Eukaryota; Metazoa; Chordata; Mammalia; Primates; Hominidae
Description: HSALNT0091882
Source: RNAcentral